Non-coding RNA from Ornithorhynchus anatinus (platypus), 138 nucleotides. NCBI's taxonomy places the organism in Eukaryota, Metazoa, Chordata, Mammalia, Monotremata, Ornithorhynchidae. The record is from Rfam.
CCCCUCUCAAGAUCACAUCUGGAGAGUUUCCAGUACUCUACCAGCCUUGGCUAUGCGAGGGAGAGUUGAGCAGAGCCAUACCCAUUCCUUUCCUAGCUUGGGCAUUGGCUAGUAAGUGGAAGGCAAUCUGCUACAAGA